CCUACGGGUGGCAGCAGUGAGGAAUAUUGGUCAAUGGACGAGAGCCUGAACCAGCCAAGUCGCGUGAGGGAGGAAGGUCCUGAGGGUCGUAAACCUCUUUUGUCAGGGAAUAAAGCCUGGCACGUGUCCCUUUAUGAGUGUACCUGAUGAAAAAGCAUCGGCUAACUCCGUGCCAGCAGCCGCGGUACUACGGAGGAUCCGAGCGUUAACCGGUUUUAUUGGGUUUAAAGGGAGCGGAGGUGGGGUGUUCAGUCAGUUGUGAAAGUGAGGGGGUCAACCGCAGCAGGGCAUUUGAUACUGGCAGUCUUGAGUACAGUAGAGGUAGGCGGAAUUCGUGGUGUAGCGGUGAAAUGCAUAGAUAUCACGCAGAACCCCGAUUGCGAAGGCAGCAUGCUGGCCUGUCACUGACGCUGAGGCACGAAAGCGUGGGUAGCGAACAGGAUUAGAUACCCGAGUAGUC
RNAcentral lists this ribosomal RNA (460 nucleotides) under uncultured bacterium. Its description in RNAcentral is "partial 16S ribosomal RNA". It matches the Rfam family "Bacterial small subunit ribosomal RNA", at positions 338 to 795 of the family's 1533-position model. The record is from RNAcentral.